AAUUAAUACAAAUAAAAGUUUUUAUUUAGAGUUAAAAUUUAAAAAUUUAAAAAUUAUUAUUAAAUUUAUUAGGUUAAAUUUUAAAUUUAUAAAAUUAUUUUUUUUAAAAUUAUUUUAAGCUCAGAAAUUUUUUUAAUAAACUAGGAUUAGAUACCCUAUUAUAAAAAAUGUAAAUUAAUAAAAAUAGAGUAGUAUUAGUUAUAUUCUUAAAACUUAAUAAAUUUGGCGGUGUUUUAAUCUAUUCAGAGGAACUUGUUUUAUAAUUGAUAAUCCUCAUUAUAUCUUACUUAAUUUAUUAAUUUGUAUACCAUCGUCAUAAGAAUCUCUUAAAAAAGAAAUAAUUUUCUUGAUAAUUUAUUAUUUAAAAUGUCAGAUCAAGGUGCAGUUUAUAAUUAAGAAAAAAUGAGUUACAAUAAAUUUAUUUAUAUGGAUUUUAAAUUUAAAAAUUUAAUUGAAAGUGGAUUUGAUAGUAAAAUAAAUUAAAGAGUUUAUUUGAUUUUAGUUCUAAAAUAUGCACAUAUCGCCCGUCGCUCUCGUUUUUAGAAUGAG
Molecule: ribosomal RNA, 549 nt
Filed under: Brevicornu serenum
Lineage: Eukaryota; Metazoa; Arthropoda; Insecta; Diptera; Mycetophilidae
Description: partial 12S ribosomal RNA
Source: RNAcentral